This 1698-nucleotide ribosomal RNA is filed under the name Triticum aestivum (bread wheat). RNAcentral describes it as "partial small subunit ribosomal RNA". Lineage: Eukaryota; Viridiplantae; Streptophyta; Magnoliopsida; Poales; Poaceae. The record is from RNAcentral.
AUGGCGCCGCCGUUCCUCAAGACCGGGCACGGCCGCGACUCCAGGUUCUCCUUCAGGCGGCGCAAGUCCGGGAAGGCGUCGUCGACGCCCUCGUCGCCGCUCUCGUCGGUUUCGUCCUCGGCGUCGUCGGAGGACGUGGUCCUCGACCCUGGAAGCCCGACGAUGGAGCCGUCGACCAAGACCCAGACGCUGCCGUGCGCCAGGAGGAUGCUCUCCCGGAGCAGCUGCGGGUCCAGGGGCAAGCUUUCGGUCGACCUCAUCCCGGCGCCGCUCGCCGGCGGCCCGUCCGACGCGCCCAGGCCGUCCACGUCGGCCGCGCCGCCCCCCAAGCCCGCGCCCCGGCCCGAGGGCCCGCCAUCAGACAUGGACAUGGUGAAGGAGAAGUUCUCCAAGCUGCUGCUGGGGGAGGACAUGUCCGGCAGCGGCAAAGGAGUCUCCUCGGCUCUUGCUCUGUCCAAUGCCAUCACCAAUCUUGCAGCUUCCGUGUUCGGUGAGCAGCGGCGUCUCCAACCGAUGGCCCCUGAGCCGAAGGCUCGGUGGACAAAGGAGAUCGACUGGCUUCUCUCUGUCACCGAUUUCAUCGUCGAGUUUGUUCCUUCACGCCAGGUGGCCGAGGAUGGCAGCACCAUGGAGGUUAUGAUAACUCAGCAACGCAGAGACCUGCUGAUGAACAUCCCGGCAUUGCGCAAGCUUGACGGAAUGCUCCUUGACUAUCUCGAUAGUUUCGGCGACAAGCAGGAGUUUUGGUAUGUGAAGAAAAAUGACAAUGAAUCUGAGAAGGGCGACGCGGCGGAGCAGAGUGACAAAUGGUGGCUCCCGACGGUCAAGGUCCCUCCCGAGGGUCUGUCAGACUCGACGAGGAGAUGGCUUCAGCACCAGAAGGAGCUCGUCAACCAAGUCUUGAAGGCAACAAUGGCCAUCAAUGCUAAUGUUCUCAUGGAGAUGGAUGUUCCAGAAGCUUACAUGGAGACUCUGCCUAAGAAUGGGAAAUCCACCCUCGGGGACUCGAUGUACAAGCUUAUAACCGACGAUUAUUUCAACCCCGAAGAACUCAUAGCAACGGUUGACCUGUCAAAUGAGUACAACAUUGUUGAUCUGAAGAACCGGAUUGAAGCGUCGGUCGUCAUUUGGCAAAAGAAAAUGCAGCGGGACGGCAAGUGGGGCCAUGGCGUCAGCCACGAGAAGCGGGGCCGGUUCGAGGGGAGGGCGGAGAACGUUCUUCUCCUCCUCAAGCACAGGUUUCCAGGGAUUUCCCAAUCAGCUCUGGACAUCAGCAAAAUCCAAUACAACAGGGAUGUUGGGAGUGCCAUUCUGGAGAGCUACUCAAGGACGCUCGAGAGCCUAGCCUACACCGUCAUGUCCCGCAUCGAGGACGUUCUCCAUGCCGACUCCCUCACCCAAGACCCCAAGCAAGGGGACUCGUUGCGGAUGCCGAGCUUGACAUCCGAUGACACGGACACGGUGGUCCAAGACGCCAAGGACGAGAUGGGGAGGCUGGGAAGAAUGGAGCCGGUUAACUCGACAUUGUUCGACUACGUGGGGCCUCGGGAUGGCACCAUCGAGACCAUGAUACUAGAAUCACAGGAUCCCCAGGGCAAGAAGCUGAGCAAGGUCUCGAAGAUCGGCACCAAGAGGUACUCCUACCUGGACAAGCUUGAGAACCUGGGCGGAGCACGCAGCCCCAUAUCUAGACACUAG